This 73-nucleotide transfer RNA is filed under the name Pseudomonas phage OBP. It matches the Rfam family "tRNA". Rfam says of the family: Transfer RNA (tRNA) molecules are approximately 80 nucleotides in length. Their secondary structure includes four short double-helical elements and three loops (D, anti-codon, and T loops). Lineage: Duplodnaviria; Heunggongvirae; Uroviricota; Caudoviricetes; Chimalliviridae. The record is from Rfam by way of RNAcentral.
GCGCUCUUAGCUCAGUGGAUAGAGCAGUAGCCUUCUAAGCUAUUGGUCACAGGUUCGAAUCCUGUAGGGCGCG